AUUGAACGCUGGCGGCAUGCUUUACACAUGCAAGUCGAACGGCAGCGCGGGCUUCGGCCUGGCUGCGAGUGGCGAACGGGUGAGUAAUGCAUCGGAACGUGCCCAGUAGUUGGGGAUAGCCCGGCGAAAGCCGUAUUAAUACCGCAUACGACCUGCGGGUGACAUCCGGGGACCCAAAGCCCUCGCGCUCUUUGACCGGCCGAUGUCGGAUUAGCUAGUUGGUGGGGUAAAGGCUUACCAAGGCGACCAUCCGUAGCUCGUCUGAGAGGACGACCAGCCAGAGUGGGACUGAGACACGGACCAGAGGCCUAGGGGAGGCAGCAGUGGGGAAGUUUGGAAAAUGGGGGCAAGCAUGAUCCAGCGAUGCCGCGUGAGGGAAGAAGGCCUAGGGGUUGGAAAGCGUUUUUGUGCGGGAAGAAAGCCUAGGGGAUAAUACCGGGGGGGGAUGACGGUACCGGAAGAAUAAGCACCGGCUAACUACGUG
RNAcentral lists this ribosomal RNA (484 nucleotides) under uncultured bacterium. Its description in RNAcentral is "partial 16S ribosomal RNA". It matches the Rfam family "Bacterial small subunit ribosomal RNA", at positions 29 to 507 of the family's 1533-position model. The record is from RNAcentral.